AGAGUUUGAUCAUGGCUCAGAUUGAACGCUGGCGGCAUGCCUUACACAUGCAAGUCGAACGGCAGCGCGGGGCAGCCUGGCGGCGAGUGGCGAACGGGUGAGUAAUAUAUCGGAACGUACCCUGGAGUGGGGGAUAACGUAGCGAAAGUUACGCUAAUACCGCAUACGAUCUAAGGAUGAAAGUGGGGGAUCGCAAGACCUCAUGCUCCUGGAGCGGCCGAUAUCUGAUUAGCUAGUUGGUGGGGUAAAGGCCCACCAAGGCAUCGAUCAGUAGCUGGUCUGAGAGGACGGCCAGCCACACUGGAACUGAGACACGGUCCAGACUCCUACGGGAGGCAGCAGUGGGGAAUUUUGGACAAUGGGCGCAAGCCUGAUCCAGCAAUGCCGCGUGAGUGAAGAAGGCCUUCGGGUUGUAAAGCUCUUUUGUCAGGGAAGAAACGGCCGUUUCUAAUACAGAUGGCUAAUGACGGUACCUGAAGAAUAAGCACCGGCUAACUACGUGCCAGCAGCCGCGGUAAUACGUAGGGUGCAAGCGUUAAUCGGAAUUACUGGGCGUAAAGCGUGCGCAGGCGGUUUUGUAAGUCUGUCGUGAAAUCCCCGGGCUCAACCUGGGAAUGGCGAUGGAGACUGCAAGGCUAGAGUUUGGCAGAGGGGGGUAGAAUUCCACGUGUAGCAGUGAAAUGCGUAGAUAUGUGGAGGAACGCCGAUGGCGAAGGCAGCCCCCUGGGUCAAAACUGACGCUCAUGCACGAAAGCGUGGGGAGCAAACAGGAUUAGAUACCCUGGUAGUCCACGCCCUAAACGAUGUCUACUAGUUGUCGGGUCUUAAUUGACUUGGUAACGCAGCUAACGCGUGAAGUAGACCGCCUGGGGAGUACGGUCGCAAGAUUAAAACUCAAAGGAAUUGACGGGGACCCGCACAAGCGGUGGAUGAUGUGGAUUAAUUCGAUGCAACGCGAAAAACCUUACCUACCCUUGACAUGGAAGGAAUCCCGGAGAGAUUUGGGAGUGCCCGAAAGGGAACCUUUACACAGGUGCUGCAUGGCUGUCGUCAGCUCGUGUCGUGAGAUGUUGGGUUAAGUCCCGCAACGAGCGCAACCCUUGUCAUUAGUUGCUACGAAAGAGCACUCUAAUGAGACUGCCGGUGACAAACCGGAGGAAGGUGGGGAUGACGUCAAGUCCUCAUGGCCCUUAUGGGUAGGGCUUCACACGUCAUACAAUGGUACAUACAGAGGGCCGCCAACCCGCGAGGGGGAGCUAAUCCCAGAAAGUGUAUCGUAGUCCGGAUUGUAGUCUGCAACUCGACUGCAUGAAGUUGGAAUCGCUAGUAAUCGCGGAUCAGCAUGUCGCGGUGAAUACGUUCCCGGGUCUUGUACACACCGCCCUCACACCAU
This 1393-nucleotide ribosomal RNA is filed under the name metagenome. RNAcentral describes it as "bacterial SSU rRNA". It matches the Rfam family "Bacterial small subunit ribosomal RNA". The record is from RNAcentral.